Molecule: ribosomal RNA, 293 nt
Filed under: uncultured bacterium
Lineage: Bacteria
Description: partial 16S ribosomal RNA
Rfam family: Archaeal small subunit ribosomal RNA
Source: RNAcentral
GUGCCAGCCGCCGCGGUAAUACCGGCAGCCCGAGUGAUGGCCGAUCUUAUUGGGCCUAAAGCGUCCGUAGCUGGCCGCGCAAGUCCAUCGGGAAAUCCACCUGCUCAACAGGUGGGCGCCCGGUGGAAACUGUGCGGCUUGGGACCGGAAGGCUCAGAGAGUACGUCCGGGGUAGGAGUGAAAUCCCGUAAUCCUGGACGGACCGCCGAUGGCGAAAGCACGUCGCGAGAACGGAUCCGACAGUGAGGGACGAAAGCUAGGGUCUCGAACCGGAUUAGAAACCCCGGUAGUCC